UUUUUUAAAUUUUUUUUUACUUUAAUGCCCUUUAGAUUAAAAAAUAUUAAGUUAAUAUUAUGUAAUUUUAUUUUUAUUUUUUAUCUGAUAUUUUAUUAAUAUUUUUUUAAAUUAUAUAAAAAAAAAUUAUCCUGCAUCUAAGUUUAUCGAAUAUAUAAUUUAGUAAUUUUUAGUUUUAAUUUUAUCAUUAAUUUAAUAAAAAAAUUAUUGGAAUCGAUAAUAACAAGAUAAAAAUAAAGCCACGAGAUACUAAAUUUAUACACUUAAAAUUAUAGAAUACUAAAGUGAAAAAGUGUGAAAUUAGGGCUUUUUUUGCAAAUAGCCCCAUAAUAAAUUUUAUUUUCGAAAAUAGCCCUGUGUAAAAAUUAUUUGCAAAAAUGGCCCUGNUUCAAUAUUUUAAUUUUACUAUCUAAUUAUCAAUUUAUUUGAUUUGAGUUGGUCAACUAUAAAAUUUGAAUGCAUCGUUUACAAAUUUAGUUAGUAUGUUUUGUGCGAUUCUCGCAGCUGUAAAUUUAUUGAAGUAACAAAUUAGCUUAAAUUUUAAAGUCAAAAUAUCUUUUAACUGACUCAAAUUCAAACAAAUUAGAAGAUUAGUAGAUAACAAAAUUAAAAAUUUUGAAAGAUGAGAUAUAGCCGAUUCAAAAUGAUUCCUAGCUCAGAUAAGUUUUGUGUGUUUUUA
RNAcentral lists this long non-coding RNA (679 nucleotides) under Ananas comosus (pineapple). Its description in RNAcentral is "long non-coding RNA (ACOM_LNC040715)". Lineage: Eukaryota; Viridiplantae; Streptophyta; Magnoliopsida; Poales; Bromeliaceae. The record is from RNAcentral.